Molecule: ribosomal RNA, 253 nt
Filed under: uncultured bacterium
Lineage: Bacteria
Description: partial 16S ribosomal RNA
Rfam family: Bacterial small subunit ribosomal RNA
Source: RNAcentral
UACGUAGGUGGCAAGCGUUGUCCGGAUUUAUUGGGUUUAAAGGGUGCGUAGGCGGCCCUGUAAGUCAGCGCUGAAAUAUCCCGGCUUAACCGGGAGGGUGGCAUUGAUACUGCAGGGCUUGAGUAAAGUUGAGGUUGGCGGAAUUGACGGUGUAGCGGUGAAAUGCUUAGAUAUCGUCAAGAACACCGAUAGUGAAGACAGCUAACUAAGCUUUAACUGACGCUGAGGCACGAAAGUGUGGGGAUCAAACAGG